This 444-nucleotide ribosomal RNA is filed under the name uncultured Bifidobacterium sp. RNAcentral describes it as "bacterial SSU rRNA". It matches the Rfam family "Bacterial small subunit ribosomal RNA", at positions 232 to 683 of the family's 1533-position model. The record is from RNAcentral. Lineage: Bacteria; Bacillati; Actinomycetota; Actinomycetes; Bifidobacteriales; Bifidobacteriaceae.
CGCGUCCUAUCAGCUUGAUGGCGGGGUAACGGCCCACCAUGGCUUCGACGGGUAGCCGGCCUGAGAGGGCGACCGGCCACAUUGGGACUGAGAUACGGCCCAGACUCCUACGGGAGGCAGCAGUGGGGAAUAUUGCACAAUGGGCGCAAGCCUGAUGCAGCGACGCCGCGUGAGGGAUGGAGGCCUUCGGGUUGUAAACCUCUUUUGUUAGGGAGCAAGGCACUUUGUGUUGAGUGUACCUUUCGAAUAAGCACCGGCUAACUACGUGCCAGCAGCCGCGGUAAUACGUAGGGUGCAAGCGUUAUCCGGAAUUAUUGGGCGUAAAGGGCUCGUAGGCGGUUCGUCGCGUCCGGUGUGAAAGUCCAUCGCUUAACGGUGGAUCCGCGCCGGGUACGGGCGGGCUUGAGUGCGGUAGGGGAGACUGGAAUUCCCGGUGUAACGGUG